RNAcentral lists this non-coding RNA (19 nucleotides) under Mus musculus (house mouse). Lineage: Eukaryota; Metazoa; Chordata; Mammalia; Rodentia; Muridae. The record is from RNAcentral.
UGGCCAAAUCGUGCAUGCG